UAUUGCGCAAUGGAGGAAACUCUGACGCAGUGACGCCGCGUAUAGGAAGAAGGUUUUCGGAUUGUAAACUAUUGUCGUUAGGGAAGAGAAAGGACAGUACCUAAGGAGGAAGCUCCGGCUAACUCCGUGCCAGCAGCCGCGGUAAUACGGAGGAUGCAAGCGUUAUCCGGAUUUAUUGGGUUUAAAGGGUGCGUAGGCGGGCUUUAAAGUCAGCGGUAAAAAUUCGGGGCUCAACCCCGUCCGGCCGUUGAAACUGGGGGCCUUGAGUGGGCGAGAAGAAGGCGGAAUGCGUGGUGUAGCGGUGAAAUGCAUAGAUAUCACGCAGAACCCCGAUUGCGAAGGCAGCCUUCCGGCGCCCUACUGACGCUGAGGCACGAAAGUGCGGGGAUCGAACAGG
RNAcentral lists this ribosomal RNA (397 nucleotides) under uncultured bacterium. RNAcentral describes it as "bacterial SSU rRNA". It matches the Rfam family "Bacterial small subunit ribosomal RNA", at positions 362 to 776 of the family's 1533-position model. The record is from RNAcentral.